RNAcentral lists this unclassified non-coding RNA (305 nucleotides) under plant metagenome. RNAcentral's name for it is "partial contains 5.8S ribosomal RNA, internal transcribed spacer 2, and large subunit ribosomal RNA". The stretch from base 1 to 105 matches the Rfam family "5.8S ribosomal RNA", at positions 50 to 154 of the family's 154-position model. The record is from RNAcentral.
GAAAUGCGAUAAGUAGUGUGAAUUGCAGAAUUCAGUGAAUCAUCGAAUCUUUGAACGCACAUUGCGCCCUUUGGUAUUCCGUAGGGCAUGCCUGUUCGAGCGUCAUCUAAACCUUCAAGCCCUGCUUGGUGUUGGGUGCCUGUCCCGCCUCCGCGCGCGGACUCACCUCAAAUCCAUUGGCGGCCCCCGCGUCGGCCACGAGCGCAGCAGAAACGCGAACUCGUGAGCCCGUCCGGGCGGCUCCCAGAAGCUACACCCACCCAGUUUGACCUCGGAUCAGGUAGGGAUACCCGCUGAACUUAAGC